UACGUAGGGUGCAAGCGUUAAUCGGAAUUACUGGGCGUAAAGCGCACGUAGGCGGAUACUUAAGUCAGGGGUGAAAUCCCGGGGCUCAACCCCGGAACUGCCUUUGAUACUGGGUAUCUCGAGUCCGGAAGAGGUGAGUGGAAUUCCGAGUGUAGAGGUGAAAUUCGUAGAUAUUCGGAGGAACACCAGUGGCGAAGGCGGCUCACUGGUCCGGUACUGACGCUGAGGUGCGAAAGCGUGGGGAGCAAACAGG
This 253-nucleotide ribosomal RNA is filed under the name uncultured bacterium. RNAcentral describes it as "partial 16S ribosomal RNA". It matches the Rfam family "Bacterial small subunit ribosomal RNA", at positions 524 to 776 of the family's 1533-position model. The record is from RNAcentral.